UAAAGUCUGUUCUUCUAGAAAACAUGUUUGCUAGGACAGAAGAGAGAAUUUAUUGAGCUUAAUCCAGGGGGAUUUUCCUGAACUAGAAUUCACAUGUAGGCCACAGUGGUACAUGAUAUAUAAUACCCCCUAGGGUUCACUGAUACAGUUUCAGUACUCAUGAUCCUUAAUUCUAAAGAGUAUUUUAAUCUUUACAGCAUUGUAAAAAUACCCAUGAGAUUCCUGAAUGUUUUUGAAGCUACAAUGGAUCUGAAUCGUGAAAUGGAACUCAAAGGUAUGAACAUCAUUUCACAGAAGUGCUGGGAAGUAUGAGUGAAGCACUGAAACAGCUUGCCCAAGAAACUGUGGAAUCUCCUUCUUAGAGGAUUUUCAAAAAUUGGUCUGGUAAGAUCCUGAGCAAACUGAUUAACUGCUGAGUUCCUCAUUUUGUGUUCAGAGGUUGGACUAGAUGACCUCCAGAGCUCCAGCGUCAGCUUUCCUAUGAUUCCCUUUGGUGCAGCAGAAGUGGAGUUUUAAAGCUGAGCUGACCACACACACAUUCACGAUGUCAGUGUUUAUAUGUUUGCUACUAUGUUGGAGCUCAGAGAGAAGCACAUCUUUGCAGUGCCCGUAUCUGCUACUCCUCAAGUUCUCUGCAGGAAUAUGUAAACACUGUAUGCCACUUUUGUUUUCCUUAGUAUGGACAAAAUCUGAGUGAGUUUUGAAUUUUGAGGAAUUAAUAAGUACGGAUAAGUUAAUGAUAAUCUUUUUCAGCCGGUACUUGUCUGUCUGCAGUUGUACAAUAUGAAUAAUUCUAAGUAUUGUCUCAUUUAAUUUGCCUGGAUGUGAUUUUGCAAGUAGAGUAUGUGCUGAAUACAGUGUCAUUUUGCCACCUUUAGACACGCAUUUUUUUCUGGAGAUAGAACUGCUGAGACACUAUCUGUUUAGUCAAAGAGUGACCCAUUAGUCAAGGACAGCACACGUCAUUAGAAAAGCCAGAUUUAGCCUGUAUUGAAAUCUCCAGUUGCCCAAUCUUCUGCUGUCUAAUACCAGCUCCCUGCUGCCUGUCUGUUCCAUAACCCAAAUCUGAAGGUGUUGAAAUGCUGCAUGCCACAGCUCAUGCCUAAGUGACGACUAACACUUAAAUGUGGGUGAAACCUGCUUUGGUUUGGAUUUAACUUGUACAGAACAUGCACGUAUCUAUCAUUUAAUUUAGAAACAAAUUAUUGAUGUAUUCACUUAAGAAACAAAAGUCAUGCCAUUCCACUACUGGCUUUGUCUUAUAAAAGAAAAGACUCAAAUCUAGAUUUCCCAAACAUUGUGGUAUCACCAAGCAGAGGAUUAUCAACGUUUGGGAUAGAUUCUCUGUAUGUAGAAGAUAAAUUGCACAAGAUUUAUCAGCCUGGGGAAAAAAAUAAAAAAAAUCAAGAAGGAUAUUUUGAGUCUACA
Molecule: long non-coding RNA, 1428 nt
Filed under: Anser cygnoides (Swan goose)
Lineage: Eukaryota; Metazoa; Chordata; Aves; Anseriformes; Anatidae
Description: lncRNA (ENSACDG00005012007.1)
Source: RNAcentral